This 226-nucleotide ribosomal RNA is filed under the name uncultured bacterium. RNAcentral's name for it is "partial 16S ribosomal RNA". It matches the Rfam family "Bacterial small subunit ribosomal RNA", at positions 524 to 749 of the family's 1533-position model. The record is from RNAcentral.
UACGUAGGGUGCGAGCGUUAAUCGGAAUUACUGGGCGUAAAGGGUGCGCAGGCGGUUAUAUAAGACAGAUGUGAAAUCCCCGGGCUCAACCUGGGAACUGCGUUUGUGACUGUAUGACUAGAGUACGGUAGAGAGGGGUGGAAUUCCUGGUGUAGCAGUGAAAUGCGUAGAUAUCAGGAGGAACAUCGAUGGCGAAGGCAGCCCCUUGGACCUGUACUGACGCUCU